RNAcentral lists this long non-coding RNA (472 nucleotides) under Hordeum vulgare. RNAcentral describes it as "long non-coding RNA (HVUL_LNC008317)". Lineage: Eukaryota; Viridiplantae; Streptophyta; Magnoliopsida; Poales; Poaceae. The record is from RNAcentral.
GAAUGGUUUGGAUACUAGUGACCCGAAAGAUGGAAAAGAAAGGCCAUAACUUGAGGGAAUAAAUUCUCUCUAAAGAAUGGCUUCACAAGAAAAGAACUCUUGGAUAUUAAUUCAAGAAAAGAAAAGAGAUAGAUCAUUGAGAGUCUUGGUUGACGAAUGUCUUUCAUGUACUCUCUAUGAUGGAGUCUCCUUUUUUCAAUCAACAUGAUUGAAAUGAAACAAGCAACAUGCAUGUUUAAUUUGACCAACGUCGGAUCAAACAUGUGUGUCAAAGAUAAUUCAGAUUUAUUUCUGAAUUUGAUGCAGUCAAAAGAGCCAAUUAUGGCAUUUAUGUCCCUUAAAGGGAAUUACCCGCAUGGCGGGAAAAGUCUGGGAAGAAUGCCUGCGUAACCGGGUAAAGUUGACAUUGUAUUAUGUCAACAAUCCGUGUAUGGCGGGAGAAAUUUUGGCAAAGGCCUUAUCCUGUAUGACA